GCAAACUUCGUGCCAGCAGCCGCGGUAAUACGAAGGGGGCUAGCGUUGUUCGGAAUUACUGGGCGUAAAGCGCGCGUAGGCGGUGAUCUUUGUCAGAGGUGAAAGCCUGGGGCUCAACCCCAGAAUUGCCUUUGAAACGGGAUCGCUAGAGUCCGAGAGAGGAUGGCGGAAUUCCUAGUGUAGAGGUGAAAUUCGUAGAUAUUAGGAAGAACACCGGUGGCGAAGGCGGCCAUCUGGCUCGGUACUGACGCUCAGGCGCGAAAGCGUGGGGAGCAAACAGGAUUAGAUACCCUUGUAGUC
Molecule: ribosomal RNA, 300 nt
Filed under: uncultured Pelagibius sp.
Lineage: Bacteria; Pseudomonadati; Pseudomonadota; Alphaproteobacteria; Rhodospirillales; Rhodovibrionaceae
Description: bacterial SSU rRNA
Rfam family: Bacterial small subunit ribosomal RNA
Source: RNAcentral